CAAACAAAUGGACUUAGAAUAAUGAUUGGGCUUUGAGGUAAGGCCCAUAUGAGGAGUUGGGCCUAAUUUGGAAAAUUGGGCCAUAGAGGUGAGCCUUUAUGAUUAUGUGAUAUUGGGCUAUUAGAAUGUUGAAUGUUGGACUGGACUAAAUGGUUGGGCCUUAUGGUGAGACCUUAUAAAGGUUUGGGCCCCAUUUGGAAAAUCGGGCCAUGAGUUGGGCUUUGAGCCAUGGUUGGACUUUUGGGCCCUUGGAUUGGGCUUGAAUCAACUCAAGUUAGGGGUAGAGUAGUCUCUUACCCUAAGCAUGGACUUAUGAUUAUGAGUUCGAACCUAAUUAUUAAUUGGGUGAUGCUUUGUUAUUAGCAGUUCGGGAAUAUGUCGUCCAGCAGCGGGGAUUGUGUCUACGGGACUUCGGCAGUGCGAUGUAUUUCGUUUUCAAAAGAAAGGAGUCGGCUCGAUCGCAGCGCAUCACACUAUGUUUUCCGCACAUGAGAUCUUUGAGAUUAUACUCUGAUAUGAUUUUAGAUAACAUGUUUUGAUUAUUGACGUACUAGUUUUGACAUGAUAUGUUAUUAUGGAUGUUUUCUUA
Non-coding RNA from Lactuca sativa (garden lettuce), 589 nucleotides. NCBI's taxonomy places the organism in Eukaryota, Viridiplantae, Streptophyta, Magnoliopsida, Asterales, Asteraceae. The record is from RefSeq and is a predicted model, not a curated record.